Molecule: ribosomal RNA, 820 nt
Filed under: uncultured bacterium
Lineage: Bacteria
Description: bacterial SSU rRNA
Rfam family: Bacterial small subunit ribosomal RNA
Source: RNAcentral
GAGCGUGCUCGGAUUACUGGGCGUAAAGGGUGUGUAGGAGGUCGGAAAAGUCGAAUGUGAAAUCCCUCUGCCUAACGGAGGAACUGCGUUCGAAACUGUCUGGCUAGAGGUUCGGAUGGGGAAGCGGAACUCUCGGUGUAGCAGUGAAAUGCGUAGAUAUCGAGAGGAACACCGGUGGCGAAGGCGGCUUCCUGGACGAAACCUGACUCUGAAACACGAAAGCUAGGGGAGCAAACGGGAUUAGAUACCCUGGUAGUCCUUGCCGUAAACGAUGUAUACUUGGUGUAAUCGGACUCAACCCUGAUUGUGCCGUAGCUAACGCGAUAAGUAUACCGCCUGGGGAGUACAGUCGCAAGGCUGAAACUCAAAAGAAUUGACGGGGACCCGCACAAGCAGUGGAGCAUGUGGUUUAAUUCGAUGCAACGCGAAGAACCUUACCCAGGCUUGACAUGCACAGGAAUAUAGCAGAGAUGUUAUAGCUCUUCGGAGUCUGUGCACAGGUGCUGCAUGGCUGUCGUCAGCUCGUGCCGUGAGGUGUUUGGUUAAGUCCAGCAACGAGCGCAACCCUUAUCAUUAGUUGCCAACAUUUCGGAUGGGAACUCUAAUGAGACUGCCUAGGUUAACUAGGAGGAAGGUGAGGAUGACGUCAAGUCCGCAUGGCCCUUAUGUCUGGGGCUACACACGUGCUACAAUGGUCGGUACAGAAGGCAGCAAAACCGCGAGGUGAAGCAAAUCCCAAAAAGCCGGCCCCAGUUCAGAUUGUAGUCUGCAACUCGACUACAUGAAGAUGGAUUGCUAGUAAUGGCGAGUCAGCAACAUC